AUGAAUCGAGAAAAAGAAAGAAAAAUAAAAAUCAAAUAAUCGAUGAUUCAAAAGAAAAAGCACUGAAAAGGGCAAUCGGUAAAAAUUCAAGAAAUAAGAAAAGAAAGCCGAGGAAAUAAAAGAAACAAACACAGGAUGUAACAUCGACUCUGAACCAAAAGCCCAUUAUUUUCCUUUUUAAUCCAUACCCUAACCCAGGCCAAGCUACAACCCUAAAGACCUCAAAAGUGUGUGUGUUGUGUGUAGGUGAUGAGAAAAG
RNAcentral lists this long non-coding RNA (259 nucleotides) under Lathyrus oleraceus (garden pea). RNAcentral describes it as "Pisum sativum (pea) long non-coding RNA (PSAT_LNC010262)". Lineage: Eukaryota; Viridiplantae; Streptophyta; Magnoliopsida; Fabales; Fabaceae. The record is from RNAcentral.